CUGGAUAUGACUAAAAGGAUUAAACAAUUGUCGAGAACAAUCUAAGGUUUACCAAAGAUUGGUUGCUCAAGGACAGUUGGAAGUAUAGUGAUAAUUCUGGAAGGACCAUAUUGACAUAAUCUGUAAGGAGGCAACUCUUGUUCAGAAGUGAUAGUCAAAAUGGAAUCUGGAAAUGUUUCAAAGUUAGAAUUUUCAAUCUGUGUAAGAUUAAGGAAACUUAAUGCAAGAAGGAUAUUUCCAAGGAGUUGAUCUCCUUUGGAAUACUCUGUAAUGAUUGUUGCCAAGUCUUUAUGACUUUGUGCAUAAUCAUUACGAGAGGAUCAAUGCAUAUAAGUUUAGAAUCUAACAGAUUUCAGUAAAUGGCAUGAAUUUGGAAUUCUUGCAUUUGCAGUAAGGAUUUGGGAGUGUGAAAAGAGAAUCAUUGAAGUUAUGUUCAAUUGAUCUAGUUCACAAAGUAAAGAUCAUAGACAAACAUAGUAUGCAUACUUGGUGUGUGGCAUGACUAGUGUUUAAGAAAACAUAGUGUACAUGCUUGGAGCAUGGGACAACUAUUGUUUUAAAUUCAAGAAUAAAGUUGAUAGCUGAAACAGUGUACAAUGAAUAAUGUGUAAUCAUAUGGUGAUAAAUAAAAGGUGUUUUAUUUAUGUUCAAAGGGUUGAUACCAUAUUGGAUUCAAUUAUUAUUGUGUUUCACUUUGCAUGUUUUGACUUCCCGAAUAAACUAGGUUAUUCUUCCGGAAUGACUAAGUUAUUCAAACCAUCCACAGUCGGUCAUAUGUUGGAAGUAGAUAUGAAUUAAGACUGUCAUGGGUUGGCUUGUAGAGGUCUAAGGUGUUGGACAAAGGGCUACAACACUCAUGAGUGCUCAUAAGUUCUGAGUAUUGGAUUCAACCCGCGCUCAUUGGAAUCACUUCAUGGAUUUUAUCACGAGUGAUCAUGAGACGAUAAUAUCUUAUAUUCUUCAAACCUAGAGAUAUGAGUUGUUACUAUGAGUUGAUAGUACAUUGAUUGCACGAAAACGCAUUUGGUAACUCGGUGCUAUAAAACGUGCCUUUGUGUAUGAUUCAACAAGUAGUAGAACAAGCCAUAUGAGUCGAAGUUUAUCCGUUCCUUUUACCUUCGGGAUAAAAGCGAUAUCUGUGGGCCCCUCGAUGAUUUGAUGAUGACAAAUGGAAGUGCUCGGCCGGGCCAGGACUGAUUUGAUUUGUUCAAUUAGUCAGUCGUCAUAAAUCGGAAAUCGGGAAACAACAAAUGGACAGAGAGAAUGAUUAUAAUCCAUGUCUCAGUCCAUAUGAUAUCUAGAAUGGAGGAAUAUAUGAUCCCUUAUCUAAUGGACAAGUCAUUGACAAAGGUCAGAGUUCAUCUACAAGGUCAGAGUUCGACAGAAGCUUUUGAGAGCUACGAUUGCCAGUUGGUUCCUGAAGUCAUACGCAAUAAUAGUUUUAGACUUAUCCAAGUGGGAGACUGUUGGAUUAAUGUCUAAGUCCAUAACUAUAAUUGGUAAGACUUGACCCGACCCGGCAUGGUCCAUUUGGGUUGCAUACCAUCAUGCACUUGGAUAGACUAUAAUGAGAGAAAUAAGACACUUAUGGUUAUUAAUAUAUUAUAAGUUCUAGUAUAUUAAUAAUAAGAAUAAUAAGAUUAUUUAAUUAGUAUUGAUCAAGAAUUAAUCUAGGAUUAAUUAAGUGAUCAAAAGAAGACUAAUUAAAUAUAUGGGUUGAUUGUGUAAAUCAUCCAUACUUGUAUAGUGGGCUAAUGCUCCAUGGAUAAUCAAGUUGGGCUAAAACCCAUAGGAUGGUCCAUGGAUGCUCCAUGGUGUAUUUGUACCCAUGGAUCCAAGGAAAUGGAAAGCCAUGACAAUUAAGAGUUUACCCUAAUUGUGUAACUAUAUAAGCAUCUUAUUAUUGAGGAAAAAUCGGCCACUAGAGAUAGUGAAGAAAGGGCUAGCCGAUUUUGAUGAGUGUAGAAUUCUCUCAAGUCAUUCUAAGUGUUUUGAUGAUUGUGAUUCCAUUUGAGGUGUCACACUUGGGGCACUAGGCACUCAAGCUUCAUGAAGACUUUCUACACCAAAGAGGUAUGUAUUCUAUCUUGCUAUAGUUAUUGUUUUGUAUGCUAGAUUAGGAUAAUACCUUGGAAGUUCUUAUUUGCAUGUAUAAUAGAGAAAACAUAGAUCCAAGGUAUUUAGGGUUGCAUGUACACUUAGGAAGUGUUAGAAUGCUCAAAACCCAACAGUGGUAUCAGAGCCACGGGUUGUUUUCUGUUAUAUUGAUGCAAAUAUUUUAUUUUCAAAGUUGAAAAAAAAAAAAAAAAAAAACAUGAAGUUUGUCAAAUUUUAAGAUAAUUACUUGUUCUUGUGAAAAACUAAUUAUUUGUAAAAUUUGAAUAAUUUGCUUUAUGAGUUGAAUUAGGUCAAAUUUAAUAAAAGAUAAAAUAAUAUGAUUAUUUUAUUAGUUUUAAAAGUUUGAUCUAAAGAGUUUUAUUUUUUGAAACCUCCAUAAGUUAUGGAUAUGAAAAGGUUUUAAAAAAAAAAUUGAUUCAAAGUUUUUUUGGAGUUACAAAAUUUGGUGUUAAUGUUUUAAAGGAUUCCAUAACUUAAGAAUAAGUUAUGGAUCACCAAAAGUUUUUUGUGUUACCUUGUUUUAUGAGUGAAUUUAGAUUAAUGAAUAAAAUUAUGUGAUAGUUGGUUUUAAUCCAAAUUAAUCUAAGAAUUGAUUCUAAAAUGUGUUUUUGUAACUUGUCCUCAAGUUAUAUGAAAAGUCACAUUUAAGAAUCAUAAAACUCAUAAAAAUUGGCAAAGGUUACAAAAAUGAAGAGUCUAGUUCUAAUUAAAUGGUUUUAUGACUCCAUAACUUGUCCUCAAGUUAUGGAGGACCAAGAGUCUCUUCAUUUAAUAAAAUAAAAUAAAAAAAAAAAAAGUGUAACCUUAAUUAAUUCCAUAAGUUAUAAAAUAAAGAAAAGUUAAUUCUUUUAUUAGUUUAAAGUCUUCCAUAACUUGUCCUCAAGUUAUGGAACUUGAAGAGUUUUUGGAUUAAAACUACUUUAAACACAUAAGUUAUGGAAUUAAUUAGUUUUGAAUAGUUUCAAAACUUGCCCUCAAGUUUUGGAAUUUGUAAAGUUUUCACUUAUGAAUACUUUAAUUCCAAGUUAGCCCUUAGAAUUUUAAAAGUUAAAAUUCAACCCUUAUACUUUAUAAUAUUAUAAGUUAAUAAUAUAUAUAUGUAUAAGAGUAAAGUCAGUCUUACCGCUAGUACGCCUCAUUCACGAAGCCGGUCUAUAAGGUGGGUAUAAGGUUGUUGCCUAUAAAAUGGCAACUUAAUGGGUGUCCACUCUCACCCACCGCUUGCUUGACUGGUGGAGGGUCGUUAGCCGAACGGGUUUGACAGGACUAGAAUUCUCCCUUCAUUAAAAGUAUUAAUGAUAAUACUAAGUAACUAAACUCUUAAUAAUACCCAAUCUUAGUUACUUAGGAAAAAUGUGAAUAAGGUGCUAAUCCAUGAAAUUACACUUUACACUUUGUCUAAGUCGUUAGUGGAGCGUGUGUGGUUAACCGGCACACUAACUUGGACUUAACAAGGUAGGUAAAGGGUGACUUAAUAUUUAUCAUAGUAUCGAUGGAGCGUGUGUGGUUAACCGGCACAUCGAUUGAGGGGUAAUUUAUUAAGGGUACCAAGUGAUUUGCAUGGUUACUUCACACCUUGUUUUGUGAUCCUCGGCAUCCCAGUCACAAAACCUGAAGGGCACACUCGAGAUUGAAACAUGCCUUUGAACAGUUCAAUGAAUCUCAAAGAUCUAGGAGUUUCAAAACCAAUUAAAACCUAAUAAUACAUUUCGUUUAUCUUGGUGGAAAUUGGUGAAUCGUCAUUCACCUACCUUCAAAUAUUUUAUAGCUUGGAUUACGGCAUACCUCUUCUAAGUUAUAAAAUAGUUUGUUGGGUCCUAGCCUUAAUAUUUCAUAUUGGGUGUCAUAUUAAGGACUUUAAAUCAACUAUCUUGAAUAUCUCCCAAAAGAUGUCUGGUUUAGACACCUAUGAUCUUCCCAAAUCUCUUGAAACAAGGUUUCCUAAUGAAGAUGAUGUCCCAUGGAUAUCAUACUUCUUUCUCCUCCUCCAAUUAUUCUCCCUAACCCACAAGUUCUUGAAAAGUUUAAGGUCACUCAAGCCCUAUUGGCAAGGCAAGGUCUAGGUGUGAUCACAUCUUGGAGAUGUAGUCACAUAUUGACAAGCCGGGAGAGUUGGGUGUCAAAGUCUUGAGAAAGUUGGUGGUUCAAUCACUUUCUAAGUCACAUAGUGAGUUCCUUUGGGACACCUAUGAAACAGACUAUGACAAGACCCUUAAUGAUCUUAUCUAUUUGCUAAGAUCAACUUCCUAAAACUUUAUGGACAUUGACAAUGAUGACAUUGGAUAUCCAGUAAAGCAUUCUCUUCCCAAUGGAAAGGGAUCGGCCAUAGUCAACUCGGUUGACCAAAUGGUAAAGAGAAAAGCUAAGUCUGUGAUAGUCUCGUGUACCAUUAUCAAAGGGUCCAUAUGUUUAUAUUGCCAAAGGAAGGGGCAUUGGUUGCGAAGCUGCCAAAUUUACCUAAGGAUGUUAAAGUCAAUAAGUUUGACUCUACUUCAGGUAAAGUCCACUAUCUAACUCUGUUAAGUUUCUAUUCUGAGAUUCCUGAUACAUGAUGUGACUGGGUCACAUGGUGAUGUUUUAAGAAUCAAAGAAAAGUGAAGAAACUUAAAGAAAGAAUAUGCUGAAUCUGAUGGCGUAGAUGGAUUUCUAUCGCAUAGUUUGAAGAUCGGAUUCUUGAGCAACUUCUUAGGAGUUAUGAGAUAUUGCUUAGGAAUAGAUAACAACAAGUUUUCAUAUGGAUUGUAAGGAUAAGUUUUUCCGCAAAGUUUUAAAAUAAAAGAAAAUUUUUGAUUUUAUUUAUUUUAAAAUAUCCUUACAAUGGCAUUUGAGGAAAAAUUGUUGCUUAUAUGAUUCCAUUAAUAGCAAGAGUGGAAAUAUGAAAUUGAUUCUUUCAUUUGUGGUAAUGUCUAGAUUUACCAAAUAAGGAAAGAUUCUCAUCACCCAAGUUUCAAUUGGACCGGAACUUGGAAUCAUGCAAGUUGUAUAGCAUGAUGAAUGAGAACUUUCAAGUUUUGGAAAAUUAAGACUAAUUACUCGGCCACAUGGAUGUGUGAGUCAAGUAAAGGACUAAGGGAUCGAGUACACAUUCUUGUGCACUGAUUAAGUCCACCACAAAAGAUUGAUAAGACUAUUCGUCAUAGUUUACUAAAGCUCAGUAAAUAUGAUUAUACUUACAAGCUUAAGUGUAACUCUGAGACAUUGGAAAAGGUUCCAAUGUAUGGCAGAGCGAAUAAGAAGAAUCAAAUUAGGCAGAAGGAUAAAAGUUUCUCAAAUCUGAAAAGAUGGGAGAGUACUUUAGUAUCAGUUUUGUGAUCAUCUUAAUGAUUAAGAAACCAUAUCAAAAUUAGUUCUCUAAGGAAAUCUUAGUGCAUUCUUAUGACUAAGAAGAGGAACUUGAAUUGUUGAAAUGGUUAAAUCAAGAAGAUGAGUCAUACUUCGUUCCAAUACAAGUCUUAGAGUCAUACUCCAAGAUUGUCAUUUGAGUGACAUGUCUUAAAGAAGGUUUAAAACACUUGUCAAAUGUAAGAGUAAAAGUUUUCUACUCUUGUACAUUUGAAAUUGGUAAGUUGUGAUGUUUUGGAUAAAACAAAGACCAACUUAGGCCAAUUGUGUGAAGUGUUUGUCUUGAUUAGAAUCCACACUAUCUCUUGGAUAUUUGACAAGGGAGUCUUAUAGGUCAAGAGGUCAGUGGGAGUCUUAAAAGUCUUGAAAGUCUCAAGAACUAAUCAAGAAUAAAACCUAAAGUUCUUCACUAGCACACAACUUGAGGUUCAUAACCUAUCGUGUUGACAUAUUCUGUGCCCAUUCCAGUUAAAGUUGGUUUUGCAUAUGAGUUCUUAGAGUUCUCAAUUUGUUGCACAACAACUUGGAAGCAAUGGUAGGCCCUUGAGCUGCCAGGUGGCAAGAAAUUAAGAUUGAGUUCAGUCCAUAUGAGUUUGGAUUUGUCAUUAUCCUUGUCUUGUGACUAUGGUUUUGACAAUUCACAUGGAUAAGAACACAUACACCAUUAAAUCUAAGUGUCAUAAGGUUUCUCUCCGAUUCAUGAAAAUGAUGGUGAGGAAACACUUUCACUAAGUAGAUUUUAGCUAGAUAGCAAUUGUGAUAUUUGCAUUCUCAAAGUCGUUAGUGGAGCGCGUGUGGUUAACCGGCACACUAAUUUGGACUUGUGAGAAGUGGCAAAAAGGUCUAAACAUUAUGAUUACGGCAUCCCUCUUCAUAAUUGUUUAGAUACACAAGUGUGCUAUCUAAGGGAAGGUGUAUGAUUUUGAUAAAGCUUUAUCAAAACAAUCUAGCAUCAGAAAUCUGAACUUUGGUAAGAAAGUCAAUGAAGUAUUGAUUUCUAGAAGUCCAGCUGAUUUCUGAGUACAUGUCAAAGCUAGUGGGAGCAUAAGUGUUAUGCUAAUAAUCAUCAUGUUAGUGGGAGCAUGAUAAUUAUGAUAAGUAUUGCAAGUUAGCAAUGUUAAUUAUAGAAAACAAAAGUUUCAAUUGGGAAAAAGUUGUUUUGCUAUAAUUAAGGGAGAGGAAAUUAUACUUCAUCUCAAAUCUAUAAGCUUAGAUCGUGAGGUUUUAAUCAUUUAGUCAAGGAUAUAUAUGAAUUUCAUGUUGGAAUGGCUCAACAUAAGGAAAUUCUGUAUAUGGGUCCAUUAUUUGCGUUCUAAAAUUCGAUUAUGAUUACGGCAUCCCUUUUCAUAAUCUGAAUUAUGAGAACUUGGCAAAUUGAAAUGGAAAUAUUAUAGCAAAAGACUGGUUUAGUCUUUAUGUAAGACAUCAUGAAUCGUGUCCCAUAUGCUUCGGAUAUAGGAUCGAUUACAUGUGCUAUAUUCAUCCGUUCUAAAAUUUUCCAAAUGCCUGGGGCAUUAAGAAGGGAAAAGGUUUAGAACUGGAUAUGACUAAAAGGAUUAAACAAUUGUCGAGGACAAUCUAAGGUUUACCAAAGAUUGGUUGCUCAAGGACAGUUGGAAGUAUAGUGAUAAUUCUGGAAGGACCAUAUUGACAUAAUCUGUAAGGAGGCAACUCUUGUUCAGAAGUGAUAGUCAAAAUGGAAUCUGGAAAUGUUUCAAAGUUAGAAUUUUCAAUCUGUUUAAGAUUAGGAAACUUAAUGCAAGAAGGAUGUUUCCAAGGAGCUGAUCUCCUUUGGAAUACUCUGUAAUGAUUGUUGUCAAGUCUUUCUGACUUUGUGCAUAAUCAUUACAAGAGGAUCAAUGCAUAUAAGUUUAGAAUCUAACAGAUUUCAGUAAAUGGCAUGAAUUUGGAAUUCUUGCAUUUGCAGUAAGGAUUUGGGAGUGUGAAAAGAGAAUCAUUGAAGUUAUGUUCAAUUGAUCUAGUU
RNAcentral lists this long non-coding RNA (7444 nucleotides) under Lactuca sativa (garden lettuce). Its description in RNAcentral is "long non-coding RNA (LSAT_LNC001417)". Lineage: Eukaryota; Viridiplantae; Streptophyta; Magnoliopsida; Asterales; Asteraceae. The record is from RNAcentral.